Molecule: ribosomal RNA, 492 nt
Filed under: uncultured bacterium
Lineage: Bacteria
Description: partial 16S ribosomal RNA
Rfam family: Bacterial small subunit ribosomal RNA
Source: RNAcentral
AUUGAACGCUGGCGGCAUGCUUUACACAUGCCAGUCGAACGGUAACAGGCCUUCGGGUGCUGACGAGUGGCGCACGGGUGAGUAAUGCAUCGGAACGUGCCCAGAGGUGGGGGAUAACGCAGCGAAAGCUGUGCUAAUACCGCAUGUGAUCUGAGGAUGAAAGCGGGGGACCAGGCAGCAAUGUUUGGCCUCGCGCCUUUGGAGCGGCCGAUGUCAGAUUAGGUAGUUGGUGGGGUAAAGGCCUACCAAGCCGACGAUCUGUAGCUGGUCUGAGAGGACGACUAGCCACACUGGGACUGAGACACGGCCCAGACUCCUACGGGAGGCAGCAGUGGGGAAUUUUGGACAAUGGGCGCAAGCCUGAUCCAGCAAUGCCGCGUGCGGGAAGAAGGCCUUCGGGUUGUAAACCGCUUUUGUACGGAACGAAAAGGCUCUGGCUAAUACCUGGGGCUGAUGACGGUACCGUAAGAAUAAGCACCGGCUAACUACGUG